GAGGAGGGCCAGCAAUGUCUGGUAGAGGAGGAGGAGGAAGAGGAGGAGGAGGGGUAGGAAGGCCAGUGAUGUCUGGUAGAAGAGGAGGAAGAGGAAGGCCAGCAAUGUGUCAUAGAGAAGGAGGAGGAGGAAAGCCAGCAAUGUCUGGUAGAGAAGGAGGAGGAUGAGGAGCAGGGCCAGUGAUGUCUGGUAGAGGAGGAGGAUGAGAAGGAGGAGGAAGAGGAAGGCCAGCGAUGUCUGGUAGAGAAGGAGGAGCAGGAUGAUGAUGAUGAAGAGGAGGAGGAGGAGCAGGAAGGCCAGCAAUAUCUGGUAGAGGAGGAAGAGGAUGAGGGCUCUCAAUGUCUGGAAGAGGAGGAGGAGGGGUAGGAAGGCCAGUGAUGUCUGGUAGAAGAGGAGGAAGAGGAAGGCCAGCAAUGUGUCAUAGAGAAGGAGGAGGAGGAAAGCCAGCAAUGUCUGGUAGAGAAGGAGGAGGAUGAGGAGCAGGGCCAGUGAUGUCUGGUAGAGGAGGAGGAUGAGAAGGAGGAGGAAGAGGAAGGCCAGCGAUGUCUGGUAGAGAAGGAGGAGCAGGAUGAUGAUGAUGAAGAGGAGGAGGAGGAGCAGGAAGGCCAGCAAUAUCUGGUAGAGGAGGAAGAGGAUGAGGGCUCUCAAUGUCUGGUAGAGGAGGAGGAGGACGGGGAGGAGGAGGAGGGCCAGUGAUGUCUGGAAGAGAAGGAUGAGGAGGAGGAGGAGGAAGGCCAGUGAUGUCUGGUUCAGGUGGAGGAGGAAGGCCAGCAAUGUCUGCUAGAGGAGAAGGAGGAUGAGGAGAAGCUCUUGUGAUGUCUGGUAGAGAAGGAGGAGAAUGAGGAGGAGGAGGAGGAAGGCCAGCGGUGUCUGGUAGAGGACAAGGAGGAUGAUGAUGAUGAGGAGGAGGAGGAGGAGCAGGAAGGCCAGCAAUGUCUUGAGGAGGAGGAGGCUUAGGAGCAGGAGGGCCAGCAAUGUCUGGUACAGGAGGAGGAGGAUGAGGGCCCUCAAUAUCUGGUAGAGUAGGAGUAGGAGGAGUAGAAGGAGGGCCAGUGAUAUCUGGUAGAGAAGGAGGAGGAAAAGGAAGAGAAGGAGGAGGAGGAGAGGCAUGGAUGUCCGGUAGAUGAGUAGGAGGAGGAGGAGGAAGAUGGCCAGCAAUGUCUGAAACAGGAGGAGGAGGAGGAGGAGGAGCAUCAGUGAUGUGUGGCAGAAGAGAAGGAGGAGGGCCAGCGGUGUCUGGAGGAGGAGGAGGUGGAGGAAGGGGGCCAGAGAUUUCUUGUAGAGGAGGAGGAGGGCCAGCAAUGUAUGGUAGAGGAGGAGGAAGAGGAGUUGGUGGACUAGCGAUGUCUUUUAGGGGAGGAGUGGGAGGAGGACAAAGAGGAGGAGGAGGAGGGCCAGCGAUGUCUGGUAGAGGAGGAGGAGGAGGAGGAGGAGGAGGAUGGCCAGCAAUGUAUGGUGGAGGAGGAAGAGGAGGGCCAGCAAUGUCUGAUAGAUGUGGAGGAGGAGGAGGUGGAGGAGGAGGAGGAGUGCCAGUGAUGUCCGUUCGAGGAGGAAGAAGAAGGUAAGCAAUGUCUGGUAGAGGAGUAGAAGGAGGAGGAAGAGGGCCAGCAAUAUCUGGUGCAGGAGGAGGAGGAGGGUCAGUGAUGUCUGGUGGUUGAGGACAAGGAGGAGGAUGAGGAGGAGGGACAGAGAUAUAUGGUAUAGGAGGAGGAGGUCCAGCAAUGUAUGGUAGAUGAGGAGGAGGAGGACCAGCAAUAUCUGGUAGAGGAGGAGGAGGGAGGAGGAGGAGGGCCAGUGAUGUCUGGUAGAUGAGAAGGAGGAGGAGGAAGAGAGGCAGUGAUGUCUGGUUGGGGAGGAAGAGGGGGGAGGAAAGCCAGCAACACCUGGUAGAGGAGGAGGACUAUGUGGACCCUCAAGGUCUGGUAGAGAAGGAGAAGAAAGAAGAGGAGGAGGGGCCAGCGAUGUCUGGUAGACAAGGAGGAGGAGGGGGAGAAGGAGAAGGAGGAAGAGGAGAGGCAGUGUUGUCUGUUAGAGGAGUAGAAGAAGGAGGAAGAGGGCCAGCAAUGUCUGGAGGAGUAGGGGGAGGAGGAGGAAGAGGGUCAGCGAUGUUUGCUAGAAGAGGAGGAGGAGGGUCAGUGAUGUCUGGUGGAGGAGGAGCAUGAGGAGCAGGAGGAGAAGGAGGGCCAGAGAUGUCUGGUAGAGGAAGAGGAGGGACAGCAAUGUAUGGUAGAUGAGAAGGAGGAGGAGGGCCAGCAAUAUAUGGUAGAGGAGAAGGAGGAGGAGGAAGAGGGCCAGCAAUGUCUGGUAGAGAACGAGGAGGAUGAAGAUGAAGAGGAGGAGGAAGGCCAGCAAUGUAUGGUGGAGGAAGAGGAAGAGGAGUAGGGUCAGCAAUAUCUGGUAGAGGAGGAGGAGGAGGAGGAAGAGGGCCAGCGAUGUCCAGUAGAGGUGGAGGAGGAGGGUCAGCAAUGUCUGGUAGAGGAGGAGGUGCAGAAGGAGGAGGAGGAGUGCAAGCGAUGUCUGAUAGAGGAGGAGGAGAAGGACCACCAAUGUCUGGUAGUGGAGGAGGAGGAGGAUCAGUGCUAUCUGGUUGAGAAAUAGGAGGAGGAGGAAGAAGAGGGCCAGGAAUGUCUAGUACAGGAGGAGGAGGAGGAGGGUCAAUGAUGUCUAGUAGAAGAGGAGGAGGAGGGACAGUGACGCCUGGUAGAGGAGGAGGAGGAGGAAGAGGAGGAGGAGGAGAGCCAGAGAUGUCCAGUACAAGAGGAGGAAGAGGGCCAGCGAUGUCCGGUAGAGGAGUAGGAGGAGGGUCAGCAAUGUCUGGUAGAGGAGUAGACGGAGGAGGAAGAGGGCCAGCAAUGUCUGGUAGAGGGGGAGGAGGACAAGUGCCCUGAAUAUCUCAUAGAGGAGGAGGAGGAGGAGUAACUGGAAGAGGAGGAGGGCCAGUGAUGUCUGGUAGAGAAGGAGGAGGAGGGCCAGCAAUGUCUGGUGGAAGAGGAAGAGGAGGGCCAGCAAAGUCUGGUGGAGGAGGAGUAGGAGGAGGAGGGCCAGCAAUAUCUUGUAGGGAAGGAGGAGGGUAAGGAUGAGGAUGAGGAAGGCCAACAAUAUCUGGUAGAGGAGGAGGAGGGCCAGCAAUGUCUGGUAGAGAAGGAGGAGGGGAGGGAGGAGGGGCCCAAAGUAUCAUAGAGGAGGAGGAAAUCGAGGGCCAGCAAUGUCUGGUAGAGAAGGAGGAGGGGAGGGAGGAGGGGCAGUGAUGUCUUUUAGAGGAGUAGGGGGAGGAGGAAGGGGGCCAGCAGUCUGGUAGAGGAGGAGGAGGGUCAGUGAUGUCCGGUAGAAGAGGAUGAGUAGGGCCAGCGAUGUGUGGUAGAGAAAGAGGAGGACAAGGAAGAGGAGGAGGAGGAGGGCCAGAGAUGUCCGUUAGAGGAGGAGGAGGAGGGCCAGCAAUGUAUGGUAGAUGAGGAGGAGGAGGAAGGCCAGCAAUGUCUGGUAGAGGAGGAGGAGUUGGAGAAGGAGGAGGAGGGUCAGCAAUGUCUGGUAGAAGAGGAGGAGGAGGGUCAGUGAUGUCUCGUAGAAGAGGAGGAGGAGUGCCGGUGAUGUACGGUGGAGGAGGAGGAGGGCCACAGAUGUCUGGUAGAAGAGGAGGAGGAGGGACAGCAAUGUAUGGUAGAGGUGAGGAGGAGGAGGGCCAGCAAUGCCUGGUAGAAUAGGAGGAUGAGGAAAAGAGCUAGCGACAUCUGGUAGAUUAGCAGGAUGAGAAGGAGUAGGAGGAGUAGGAGGAAGGUCAGCGAUGUCUGGUUGAAGAGGAGGAGGAGAAGGAGGAGGAGGACUAGGAGGUGGAAGAGGAGGAGGAGGAGGAGAAGUGCCAGGGAUGUCUGGGAGAGAAGGAGUAGGAUGAGCAUGAGGAGGAGGAAAGUCAGCAAUUUCUCCUAGAUGAGGAGGAGGAGGAGUAGGGCCAUGAAUGACUGAUAGGGGAGGAGGGAGAGGAGGAGAAAGAUGUGGAGGAGGGUCAGCAAUAUCUGGUAGGGGAGUCGGAGGAGGAGGGCCAGUGAUGUCUGUUAGAGAAGGAGGAGGAGGAGGAGAAGGGGAGAAGGAGGAAGAGGAAAGGCAGUGAUGUCUGGUAGAGGAGUAGGAGAAGGAGGAAGAGGGCCAGCAAUGUCUGGAGGAGGAGUAGGGGGAGGAGGAGGAAGAGGGUCAGCGAUGUUUGCUAGAAGAGGAGGAGGAGCGCUAUUGAUGUCUGGUGGAGGAGGAGCAUGAGGAGCAGGAGGAGAAGGAGGGCCAGAGAUGUCUGGUAGAGGAAGAGGAGGGACAGCAAUGUAUGGUAGAUGAGAAGGAGGAGGAGGGCCAGCAAUGUUUGGUAGAGAACAAGUAGGGUGAGGAUGAGGAGGGGGAGGAAGGCCAGCAAUGUCUGGUGGACGAGGAGGAGGAGGACCAGCACUAUCUCGUAGGGAGGAGGAGGAGGAGGGUCAGUGAUGUCUGGUAGAGGAGUAGGAGGAGGAGGACAAGAGCCAGCAAUGUCUGGUACAGGAGAAGGAAGAGGAGGAGGAGGAGGAGGAGGAGGAAGAGGAUGGUCUGUGAUGUCUGGUAGAAGAGGAGGAGCAGGGCCAGUGAUGUCUGUUAGAGGAGGAGGAGGAGGAAUAGGAGGAGGAGGAGGGCCAGAGAUGUCCGUUAGAGGAGGAGGAUUAGGGCCAGCAUUGUUUGGUAGAGGAGGG
RNAcentral lists this long non-coding RNA (4703 nucleotides) under Heterocephalus glaber (naked mole-rat). Its description in RNAcentral is "lncRNA (ENSHGLG00000040615.1)". Lineage: Eukaryota; Metazoa; Chordata; Mammalia; Rodentia; Bathyergidae. The record is from RNAcentral.